GUGAAUCAUCGAAUCUUUGAACGCAAAUUGCACUCCCUGGUAUUCCGGGGAGUAUGCCUGUUUGAGGGUCGUUAGAAAAAAAAUCGAAGCGUCGCUCUUUUUUUUAAGGGUGAUCGCGCCGGAAUUGAACCGUUUUUCAAAUGUUAAUAAAUGACAAAGUGGCUUGAAAUUCAUGCAUUCGGUAUGAUUAAAGCGUAUUCAAGUCUAAUUUUGAUCAAGAACGCGCGAUGAACGAACCAUCUCAUGUAGUAAGUUCGA
Molecule: unclassified non-coding RNA, 258 nt
Filed under: Funneliformis mosseae
Lineage: Eukaryota; Fungi; Glomeromycota; Glomeromycetes; Glomerales; Glomeraceae
Description: partial contains 5.8S ribosomal RNA and internal transcribed spacer 2
Rfam family: 5.8S ribosomal RNA (bases 1-71)
Source: RNAcentral